Long non-coding RNA from Dendroctonus ponderosae (mountain pine beetle), 943 nucleotides. RefSeq lists it as uncharacterized. The transcript is spliced from 2 exons. Lineage: Eukaryota; Metazoa; Arthropoda; Insecta; Coleoptera; Curculionidae. The record is from RefSeq and is a predicted model, not a curated record.
AUGACUAAGUACGAGAAAUAUAAUGACCGUAAGUGAAAGUAACUCUAUUGUGAUUGGUUUCGCAACAACAAAGGUUACAACCGAUAGGAAGUGGAUUAAUUGAGAACUGCUUUCACAAUGCAGGCAAUGUUGCCAGAGUUGGCCUUCUAAACUUCUAUAUCUAUAUAUCAGCUGCUAUCAUUUUCCAAAGUUUGCGCUUAAAUAAAUUUAGAAAAUGAAGGUGCAUGUAUGAAAGUAAACUGGAACGCAUUACCUAUGCAUAUACUCACUAUGCAUUGCGUAUAUACCUACCUACAUAGUGCAAUUACGAUAGGAAGUGAAGGGCACCGUUACACAUCAACAAUAGAAGUAGGUAUUACAUUCAUAACAUAUCCAAGUGAGUACCAUUUCCUAUUGAAAUAUUCCAUUAUUGCUUGGCGUGGAUCGUAAAAAAGCAAAAACUCAGACCGUUUACAUUCGAGUCACGGACCUAGUCGCUUCCUAGCCACAAACCUGAAUGUUUAGGUGCAAAAAAAUGCUCACUUCACCUGCUCUAGUGGGGAAUCGCAGCUGUAUUGGAAAAGUCUCACCUGCUCGGUCUGGUCAGAACACACUGUCCACUAGUAAAUAGGCAGGAUUGAUGAAGAAAUCCCCUAUCGCAUUCAAUUGAUUGAUUAGGUACAUGCCGGCGCUAAGUACUACUCGUAUAAGAUUAAAAACACUUAAUGUUUGGAACAAAGUACCAGGAAUCAAUUAUAUGGCAAGAAAACAUCAGUGCGAGCAGUAUACCUACUAAAUUAAAUGCCCCCGAUGUGUAUAAAUUGAGCACGACGGUACAUGCCGGUGAAUAUUUUAUGGACCGAUUUACCAUAGAGCCUUGAAAGUGUCGAGUGGAGGCAGAAAAUAAUCGACCAACGUAACGUGUAAUUUUACUUAUUCUGGAAAUUAAAAUGUAUUUAUAAAU